RNAcentral lists this ribosomal RNA (1540 nucleotides) under Staphylococcus aureus KINW6010. Its description in RNAcentral is "16S ribosomal RNA". It matches the Rfam family "Bacterial small subunit ribosomal RNA". The record is from RNAcentral. Lineage: Bacteria; Bacillati; Bacillota; Bacilli; Caryophanales; Staphylococcaceae.
AGAGUUUGAUCCUGGCUCAGGAUGAACGCUGGCGGCGUGCCUAAUACAUGCAAGUCGAGCGAACGGACGAGAAGCUUGCUUCUCUGAUGUUAGCGGCGGACGGGUGAGUAACACGUGGAUAACCUACCUAUAAGACUGGGAUAACUUCGGGAAACCGGAGCUAAUACCGGAUAAUAUUUUGAACCGCAUGGUUCAAAAGUGAAAGACGGUCUUGCUGUCACUUAUAGAUGGAUCCGCGCUGCAUUAGCUAGUUGGUAAGGUAACGGCUUACCAAGGCAACGAUGCAUAGCCGACCUGAGAGGGUGAUCGGCCACACUGGAACUGAGACACGGUCCAGACUCCUACGGGAGGCAGCAGUAGGGAAUCUUCCGCAAUGGGCGAAAGCCUGACGGAGCAACGCCGCGUGAGUGAUGAAGGUCUUCGGAUCGUAAAACUCUGUUAUUAGGGAAGAACAUAUGUGUAAGUAACUGUGCACAUCUUGACGGUACCUAAUCAGAAAGCCACGGCUAACUACGUGCCAGCAGCCGCGGUAAUACGUAGGUGGCAAGCGUUAUCCGGAAUUAUUGGGCGUAAAGCGCGCGUAGGCGGUUUUUUAAGUCUGAUGUGAAAGCCCACGGCUCAACCGUGGAGGGUCAUUGGAAACUGGAAAACUUGAGUGCAGAAGAGGAAAGUGGAAUUCCAUGUGUAGCGGUGAAAUGCGCAGAGAUAUGGAGGAACACCAGUGGCGAAGGCGACUUUCUGGUCUGUAACUGACGCUGAUGUGCGAAAGCGUGGGGAUCAAACAGGAUUAGAUACCCUGGUAGUCCACGCCGUAAACGAUGAGUGCUAAGUGUUAGGGGGUUUCCGCCCCUUAGUGCUGCAGCUAACGCAUUAAGCACUCCGCCUGGGGAGUACGACCGCAAGGUUGAAACUCAAAGGAAUUGACGGGGACCCGCACAAGCGGUGGAGCAUGUGGUUUAAUUCGAAGCAACGCGAAGAACCUUACCAAAUCUUGACAUCCUUUGACAACUCUAGAGAUAGAGCCUUCCUCUUCGGGGGACAAAGUGACAGGUGGUGCAUGGUUGUCGUCAGCUCGUGUCGUGAGAUGUUGGGUUAAGUCCUGCAACGAGCGCAACCCUUAAGCUUAGUUGCCAUCAUUAAGUUGGGCACUCUAAGUUGACUGCCGGUGACAAACCGGAGGAAGGUGGGGAUGACGUCAAAUCAUCAUGCCCCUUAUGAUUUGGGCUACACACGUGCUACAAUGGACAAUACAAAGGGCAGCGAAACCGCGAGGUCAAGCAAAUCCCAUAAAGUUGUUCUCAGUUCGGAUUGUAGUCUGCAACUCGACUACAUGAAGCUGGAAUCGCUAGUAAUCGUAGAUCAGCAUGCUACGGUGAAUACGUUCCCGGGUCUUGUACACACCGCCCGUCACACCACGAGAGUUUGUAACACCCGAAGCCGGUGGAGUAACCUUUUAGGAGCUAGCCGUCGAAGGUGGGACAAAUGAUUGGGGUGAAGUCGUAACAAGGUAGCCGUAUCGGAAGGUGCGGCUGGAUCACCU